UGAACGGACUGGCGGCGUGCCUAAUACAUAGCAAGUCGAGCGAACCGACUUACGGUUCGGGGAAGGCGGGCGAACGGGUGGAGUAACGACGUAGGUGAUCUGCCCAUCAGACGGGACACGAUUGAACGAUCGCUAAUACCGGAUAGGACGAAAGUUUAAAGAUGCUCCUGGCAUCACUGAUGGAUGAGCCUGCGGCGCAUUAGCUAGUUGUGGGGUAAAGGCCUACCAAGGCGACGAUGCGUAGCCGACCUGAGAGGGUGAACGGCCACACUGGGACUGAGACACGGCCCAGACUCCUACGGGAGGCAGCAGUAGGGAAUCUUCGGCAAUGGGCGAAAGCCUGACCGAGCAACGCCGCGUGAAUGAAGAAGGCCUUCGGGUUGUAAAAUUCUGUUAUAAGGGAAGAAAGGUGAUAGGAGGAAAUGACUAUCCAAUUGACGGUACCUUAUGAGAAAGUCACGGCUAACUACGUG
This 473-nucleotide ribosomal RNA is filed under the name uncultured Turicibacter sp. RNAcentral describes it as "bacterial SSU rRNA". It matches the Rfam family "Bacterial small subunit ribosomal RNA", at positions 36 to 507 of the family's 1533-position model. Lineage: Bacteria; Bacillati; Bacillota; Erysipelotrichia; Erysipelotrichales; Turicibacteraceae. The record is from RNAcentral.